CCGCCUUGGUCGAGAGGGACUGAGAUGGAAUGAUGGACAACUCAUGACUUGUUAUACUAAUUGAAAAUUACGAAGCUACGACAACAUGCCGACUUAUCCCGAUGACCUAAGUGUAUCAUUUGUUUGGGAAAUUGCGUCAAAACUUUUUACUCAAGAAAUGACCAGACUGCAACCUCUAUAGGUGUGUUUGCUUGUUUUGAGUGGGGAUGAAAGAAAAGGAGUCAUGCCGCAUAUCUGAUUUAUUAAAUCGCAUUUUUUCUGUUUAUACAUGAGUAGAACUACCUUGUUCUCUGAAAAAAAUAAAAUUUCUCGCAUUUUUAUCUGUG
RNAcentral lists this long non-coding RNA (326 nucleotides) under Pocillopora damicornis (cauliflower coral). RNAcentral's name for it is "uncharacterized LOC113673681". Lineage: Eukaryota; Metazoa; Cnidaria; Anthozoa; Scleractinia; Pocilloporidae. The record is from RNAcentral.